AAGGAAGCGAUUCCGGCUACGGAUGUUCAUGCGUCGCAUUAGCUUGUUGGCGGGGUAACGGCCCACCAAGGCGACGAUGCGUAGGGGUUCUGAGAGGAAGGUCCCCCACACUGGUACUGAGACACGGACCAGACUCCUACGGGAGGCAGCAGUGAGGAAUAUUGGUCAAUGGCCGCAGGGCUGAACCAGCCAAGUCGCGUGAGGGAUGACGGUCCUAUGGAUUGUAAACCUCUUUUGUCAGGGAGCAAAGGGCGCCACGUGUGGCGUUUUGCGAGUACCUGAAGAAAAAGCAUCGGCUAACUCCGUGCCAGCAGCCGCGGUAAUACGGAGGAUGCGAGCGUUAUCCGGAUUUAUUGGGUUUAAAGGGUGCGCAGGCGGAAUGUCAAGUCAGCGGUAAAAUUUCGGGGCUCAACCCCGUCGUGCCGUUGAAACUGGCGUUCUUGAGUGAGCGAGAAGUAUGCGGAAUGCGUGGUGUAGCGGUGAAAUGCAUAGAUAUCACGCAGAACUCCGAUUGCGAAGGCAGCAUACCGGCGCUCAACUGACGCUCAUGCACGAAAGCGUGGGUAUCGAACAGGAUUAGAUACCCUGGUAGUCCACGCAGUAAACGAUGAAUACUAACUGUCCGGGCAGAAUGAUGCCUGG
This 642-nucleotide ribosomal RNA is filed under the name uncultured bacterium. RNAcentral's name for it is "bacterial SSU rRNA". It matches the Rfam family "Bacterial small subunit ribosomal RNA", at positions 202 to 842 of the family's 1533-position model. The record is from RNAcentral.